This is a long non-coding RNA of Empidonax traillii (willow flycatcher), 1178 nucleotides long. RefSeq lists it as uncharacterized. The record is from RefSeq and is a predicted model, not a curated record. The transcript has 4 exons. Lineage: Eukaryota; Metazoa; Chordata; Aves; Passeriformes; Tyrannidae.
GCACGAACAUGGCGGCGGCCCUGGCGCCGAUGGGCGAUGGCGGCGGCGCGGCGGCCCCUUGAGCUCCCCCCGCCGCGGCGCUGCCCCAUCCCAGGCAUGGUGGCCGCGGUGUAGGAGGGCGGGAGCCGCGGCGAUGGAGGAGAGCCCCUGAGCCUGUCUGCGGAGGCGUUGCGUGUGUGUGAGACGUGAGAAAAGGUCUUUGCUGUACCCAGAAAGUUUUCCUGUUGGCAGUGUUCAGAGAUCAAGGGAGUCAAUCUGUCAUUGGCUUCUUUUCAAAUAGACCAUUUCUUCUGAUCACAGGACUAACUCUUCCCCAGUAUUCAUGUGAUAGAGUGGGAAUUUCUCAAGCAUUCUGCUCAUGAAUAUCAGUUAAAUGCUUUGUGCUUGUUUAAAAACAGCUUUUAACUCUUCUGGUGUGGUAAGCCAGGAGACAGUGGUGACUACAUGCUGAUCCAUGGAAGAUAACUUUUCAAAGUGAGCCAAGCUGCAAAUGGGCUUUCAGGCUAUGGUCAGAACUUGGAGCUUGUUUCUAGUUCUGCUGUGUAAAUUUUUGAGAUUGUGUAGCAGCUGGAGUUGGAGACCAUGUGCGCCAGGGAAGUCUCUGCUAGGUGCUUUAACAAAGUUGGAAAACUACAAGAGGUUUUUCAAAGAGCAAAACAAGUAGAAGAAAUACUUACCUGUUAAGUCUGUUGGCAACCAGUUUAUUUUUUAAUUUUUUUUUUUAACUCUCCACUCAUGGAAAACAUCUUUUUCUUGAGUACAGUGUUUUAAGAAAGUGUGAGGUAAUACACUCAAGGUUAUUGAACCAACUCAUAGAUUCUGGUAAGGUAAGGCUAAUAAUUUCCUUUCAGCCUCCUGCACAGACAAUAGCUUUCUUCUGGUCUUCCCUCUUCCACGUGAAAACAAUGCUUAAUCUGCCAACUUAACUAGUGAAUUCCCAUAAAAAUAAAACAGUUUUAGCAAUUUCUUUUAAGGUCUCUUGCCCAGGUCAGUACAUUUGUGCUGGGACAAGUAAAAAUGAUGCACUGCCAGUGAUCUAUUUAUGUGUAAUUCAUCAUCAGAUAGUGGAAACAGUUAAUGUUCUGGGAAUUGGCAUGAAUUUCACAUUGGGAAAGGGGGUGUUUGGUUUGUUUUAAUCUCUCUUAAAUAAUCGCAGACUGUCUAGGAAGAUGGAAUGU